This 486-nucleotide ribosomal RNA is filed under the name uncultured bacterium. RNAcentral's name for it is "partial 16S ribosomal RNA". It matches the Rfam family "Bacterial small subunit ribosomal RNA", at positions 30 to 507 of the family's 1533-position model. The record is from RNAcentral.
AUUGAACGCUGGCGGCAUGCCUUACACAUGCAAGUCGAACGGCAGCACGGGUGCUUGCCCCUGGUGGCGUGUGGCGAACGGGUGAGUAAUACAUCGGAACAUGUCCUGUAGUGGGGGAUAGCCCGGCGAAAGCCGGAUUAAUACCGCAUACGAUCUACGGAUGAAAGCGGGGGACCUUCGGGCCUCGCGCUAUAGGGUUGGCCGAUGGCUGAUUAGCUAGUUGGUGGGGUAAAGGCCUACCAAGGCGACGAUCAGUAGCUGGUCUGAGAGGACGACCAGCCACACUGGGACUGAGACACGGCCCAGACUCCUACGGGAGGCAGCAGUGGGGAAUUUUGGACAAUGGGCGAAAGCCUGAUCCAGCAAUGCCGCGUGUGUGAAGAAGGCCUUCGGGUUGUAAAGCACUUUUGUCCGGAAAGAAAUCCUUGGCUCUAAUACAGUCGGGGGAUGACGGUACCGGAAGAAUAAGCACCGGCUAACUACGUG